AGAAGAUUCUAGCUGUUCAGGGUCUGUGAGGAGGAGUCAAGGUCUGGGGUUUGUGUCCUCUGGCAUAGCAAUGGCACUGCAAUGGGGGAGCCUGUUGCUGGGCUGGGCCAUCUCGCCACUGUCACCUGCCUGUUGAGGGGUGACGGUGGUUGUUGAGAGGCUGGAUCAGACCCCAGAGGUGACAUGGAUGUGGCAUAUUUGUUGGACUUACACAGCCUUGCAUUUUAUUUUCAUCUCUGUUCCUUCCUCCCAUGAGAUCUUGGGUGGUGUUUAUCAACCCUGAGUAAUCGUUUCUUUGUCUGCAAGAUGGAAUAAAAAGGCCUACCUCAUUGGGCUCGUGUGGGUGAGGAGAACUGAAGAGUCUGAGAGCGCGGCACGAGCCAGAGGCUACGGAAAACACUGCCCUCCUACACUCCACCUUGGAGAGACCCAGAAAAGAACAAGCUUCAUUUGUAAAAAAGGAAAACAACUCAGGCAAUGGGGGUGGCUUAAAGAACUUGGAAUAACUUGCAGUGUCUUGCAGUAUUGUGAAACCAGCAACUUGUUCACAAUUCUUCUGAAUUUCUUGGGAAAUUUGAAGUGGAGUACCUGUACCAACAUGAAAUGACACGAAUUUAAGUGACGCUCAACAACGAAAAGCAAAAAGAACCAAAGAGGAAGCAACUGAAACAACAUCUGGAUGUAUUUAAAAAUAUACAAUGCCUCCAAAAUCAGGUGUCAUUAAUGAAAAUUCUGAAGAAAUGCCACCGGACAUAGCCAACGCACCUACGCUGUUGUUAUUCAUUUCCUGCUUUUCACAGAAAACAAUUUUGUUGCAUGGAAGAUCGUGAACUUCAAAGGGCAGAGGGGAAACUGUCCCUUGGCCUCUACCCCUCCAAGGCCCCACUUUUUUGUCAACACUCCUUGGACGCAGCAGAAGUAUGAACAUAAUAUGGUCCUGAAUGAGGCUGAGUCUUUGGGCGCAGAAGACCCGGGUUAAUAAAAAUAGGAAGGUAAGAAAAGAAAAGAAAAAUCAAGACACAUCAUAGGACUAAAUUCCUAUUAUUUAUCCACUCAGGAUUGACCACCCCUUUGGGCCAGAUAGUUGUACCCCCAUGUACCAGGUGGGCACAUGAAGACACAAGAAGUGCUGUGAUGGUUCAUUUUGCACGUCACCUUGCGUGGAGUAUGCCAACUCAUUGUUUGGUCAAACACUAGUCUGGACAUGGUGGUAAAGGUAUUUUUUAGAUGAGAUUAACACUUAAAUCAGUAAAGCAGGUUACCCACCAUACUACGGGUGGGCCCUGUCCAAUCAGUUGAAGGCAUUAAGAACAAAGAUUGAGGUUUCCUAAAGAAGAUGGAAUUCUCCUUGAGACUACAACAUAGAAACCCUAUCUGAGUUUCCAGCCUGUUGCCCUGUGGAAUUCAAACUCAGGACUCCGGUCUAUGACAUUAACCCUCACUUAACUUUUCAGCCUGCCAGCCUGCCCUAUGGAUUUCGGACUUGCCAGCCACACAAUUCCUUAAAAUAAAUCUCUCCGUCUCUGUCUGUUUCUCUCUGUCUAUAUACACACCUGCAUGCAUAUAUACAUAUAUAUAUGUAUGCAUCUAUAUAUUUAUAUCUAAUCUCGUAUUGCUUAUUGGUUCUGUUUCUCUGUAGAACUCUGCCUAAUACAGCUGAAGAUGUAUUCUCUUUAGAAAGCUUGCAAUUACUGGGGAACAAUCAGUACAGAAGUCGACAAUUACAGAAAGGGGACUAGGGUAAUAUGGUGGCCAAUGUCCUUGUGAGUAGUGGUGACAGAGGGCAACAAGUUAGAGACUGCCAAGGGAAAGUCAAGAGCAAGGGAAACAGAGAUGAAGUAGGUUCAGCCAGGCCCCACCACCUACCCAGACUAAACCUGGAGAGUCUCUUUUCCCUUUAGUCUUUUAAAAAUAUUUUA
RNAcentral lists this long non-coding RNA (1919 nucleotides) under Homo sapiens (human). RNAcentral's name for it is "HSALNT0382050". Lineage: Eukaryota; Metazoa; Chordata; Mammalia; Primates; Hominidae. The record is from RNAcentral.